Molecule: ribosomal RNA, 492 nt
Filed under: uncultured bacterium
Lineage: Bacteria
Description: partial 16S ribosomal RNA
Rfam family: Bacterial small subunit ribosomal RNA
Source: RNAcentral
AUUGAACGCUGGCGGCAUGCUUUACACAUGCAAGUCGAACGGUAACAGGCCUUCGGGUGCUGACGAGUGGCGAACGGGUGAGUAAUGCAUCGGAACGUACCCAGAGGUGGGGGAUAACGCAGCGAAAGCUGUGCUAAUACCGCAUGUGAUCUGAGGAUGAAAGCGGGGGACCGAGCAGCAAUGUUUGGCCUCGCGCCUUUGGAGCGGCCGAUGUCGGAUUAGCUAGUUGGGGGGGUAAAGGCCUACCAAGGCGACGAUCCGUAGCCGGUCUGAGAGGACGACCAGCCACACUGGGACUGAGACACGGCCCAGACUCCUACGGGAGGCAGCAGUGGGGAAUUUUGGACAAUGGGCGAAAGCCUGAUCCAGCAAUGCCGCGUGCGGGAAGAAGGCCUUCGGGUUGUAAACCGCUUUUGGCAGGAACGAAACGGUGUCCGCUAAUACCGGGCGCUAAUGACGGUACCUGCAGAAUAAGCACCGGCUAACUACGUG